CAAUAGCGUAUAUUAAAGUUGUUGCAGUUAAAAAGCUCGUAGUUGAAGAUACGAACGCUUACACUAGAACAAAGUUUCCGGUGUCUGCGUUCACUUUUCGCAAAGACAGCCUGGCCCAUUAGUUUGGGUCUUGUUUGAGUUGCGUCAUUUACUGUGAACAAAUUAGGGUGUUUAAAGCAGGCCUACGUUUGAAUACACUAGCAUGGAAUAAUAAGAUAUGAUCUUGGUCGUAUUUUGUUGGUGACUACCAAGAUAAUGAUUGAUAGAAACUGUUGUGGGUAUUCGUAUGAGCAUGUCAGAGGUGAAAUUCUUGGAUUUUGAUCAGACGAACUACUGCGAAGGCAUUUACCAAGGAUGUUUUCAUUAA
This 367-nucleotide ribosomal RNA is filed under the name uncultured eukaryote. Its description in RNAcentral is "partial 18S ribosomal RNA". It matches the Rfam family "Eukaryotic small subunit ribosomal RNA", at positions 592 to 976 of the family's 1831-position model. The record is from RNAcentral.